GAAAUAUUUAAUAUUAAGCUGCUAACUUAAUUAAUAGUGAAUGAUAUCAUUAAUAUUUCU
RNAcentral lists this transfer RNA (60 nucleotides) under Aporia hastata. RNAcentral describes it as "tRNA-Ser". Lineage: Eukaryota; Metazoa; Arthropoda; Insecta; Lepidoptera; Pieridae. The record is from RNAcentral.